This is a long non-coding RNA of Myotis brandtii (Brandt's bat), 236 nucleotides long. RefSeq lists it as uncharacterized. The record is from RefSeq and is a predicted model, not a curated record. The transcript is spliced from 3 exons. NCBI's taxonomy places the organism in Eukaryota, Metazoa, Chordata, Mammalia, Chiroptera, Vespertilionidae.
CUAAACGGAACCAUGCAGUGUGUGCUCUGUCUCCGUCUGGAUUCUCUUGUCCAGCUUUGUGAGAUCUACGGACGGUGCGGCCUGAGGGGGACGUGGCUCUGCUGUGUGAGGCACGUGGUGUGAACACAUCACGCUUCCUCCGCCGCCAUUGAAGAAGAAAUGUUCCCAUGCAGUGCCCACCCUCCCUCGCCAUGUGCUGCGUGUGCUCUAGGCUCGGGGCCGUGCCGCAGGGGGUC